RNAcentral lists this ribosomal RNA (301 nucleotides) under uncultured bacterium. Its description in RNAcentral is "partial 16S ribosomal RNA". It matches the Rfam family "Bacterial small subunit ribosomal RNA", at positions 509 to 808 of the family's 1533-position model. The record is from RNAcentral.
CAGCAGCCGCGGGAAUACGUAGGGUGCAAGCGUUAAUCGGAAUUACUGGGCGUAAAGCGUGCGCAGGCGGUGUUGUAAGACUGAUGUGAAAUCCCGGGCUCAACCUGGGAACUGCAUUGGUGACUGCAACGCUGGAGUGCGGCAGAGGGGGAUGGAAUUCCGCGUGUAGCAGUGAAAUGCGUAGAUAUGCGGAGGAACACCGAUGGCGAAGGCAAUCCCCUGGGCCUGCACUGACGCUGAGGUACGAAAGCAUGGGGAGCAAACAGGAUUAGAUACCCCUGUAGUCCCUGUCUCUUAUACA